UCUCAUGCUGUGACCCUACAAAGGGAAGCCCUUUCUGUUGUCUAAAGGAAAAGAAAGUGCUUCUCUUUGCUGGGUUACGGUUUGAGA
RNAcentral lists this microRNA precursor (87 nucleotides) under Chlorocebus sabaeus (green monkey). RNAcentral describes it as "mir-515 microRNA precursor family". It matches the Rfam family "mir-515 microRNA precursor family". The record is from Rfam by way of RNAcentral. Lineage: Eukaryota; Metazoa; Chordata; Mammalia; Primates; Cercopithecidae.